This 1090-nucleotide long non-coding RNA is filed under the name Carassius auratus (goldfish). Its description in RNAcentral is "lncRNA (ENSCARG00000020693.1)". The record is from RNAcentral. Lineage: Eukaryota; Metazoa; Chordata; Actinopteri; Cypriniformes; Cyprinidae.
UGGGGAUGACCGUUUAUGUUUUUAAUCGCACAUAUAUUUCUUAUGAAGUUCUUAUAUUAGUAGAUAUAUAUAGUAGAUCUUUAAGAAACUGUCAUACUGUGAAAAUGUUCUGAGGUUGAUUAUCACUUUUAUGAGGACAUGAAACGUUUUAUGCAUAACAUAAGGGAGCUCAACAAUUAAAUGAUUGUAAUCAGAAGUAAAUCUCAAUAAAUGUGACUCAAAAUCAUUUUAGAUGGUACAUUUUAAAGCACACAGUAAACUGGACAAAAACAUGCUGUUCUGAGCUCCAUCAGAAGGGGGCAACAUUAUCUCACAAGCUGUUUUAUUCACACUAAAUAAGCACCUGACCUCUAUAAGAAACAGCUGAAAGCACAGAACAUGUUUCAUAUUUCAUUAACCCACACACACAUUAUUCACACACAACAGAAGUUCACUCAGUCUCAGUGCUUUCAUUCAACCAUCAGCUACUCUCAUAUUUUUAUUCAUUUUAUAAAACCACAUUCAGCAUAGUUGAGUUAAUAAUGAUUAUAUAAUGAAUCAAUUUAAUAAGUACUAGAAAUUAAAAAUCUUAUCUUUAUAGUGGACAUCAGUUAAGAUGGAGGAGAGGCAGAUGAUACUCAUAAUGAUCAUCACAGUUUCAGGCAUUUAUGCUGAUAGAAUUGGACCAAGAGAAGGAGACACUAAUAUAAUCAGAGAAGAAGGAGAGUCUGUGACACUGAGCUGCACGUAUGAAACAACCAGCGAUAAUAUUUGGCUCUACUGGUACAGACAAUAUCUAAACAGAGAACCAGAAUAUAUACUGUAUAAAGGCGCUCGAUCAUGGAGCAGUUAUAAGGAUAUACCAGAUGGGUUUCAGUCAACUACAUCCCAGACAUCCACUGAACUUACUAUUGUAAAAGCAGCUCUGUCAGAUUCUGCUCUUUAUUAUUGUGCACUUCGAGUAGCCCAGUGAUACAAAAUACCAGAGAAGCUUUACAAAAACUCACAUGAAAUUAAUGCUUUGAAGAGUCUUUAAUCAAUCAGUAUCAAAACACAUCAUGUUUUAUAAACCACAAACAGUGAAUGUGGUAACAGCUGUGAAUUUGGGAAG